UACGGAGGGAGCUAGCGUUGUUCGGAAUUACUGGGCGUAAAGCGCACGUAGGCGGCUUUGUAAGUUAGAGGUGAAAGCCUGGGGCUCAACCCCAGAAUUGCCUUUAAGACUGCAUCGCUUGAAUCCGGGAGAGGUGAGUGGAAUUCCGAGUGUAGAGGUGAAAUUCGUAGAUAUUCGGAAGAACACCAGUGGCGAAGGCGGCUCACUGGACCGGCAUUGACGCUGAGGUGCGAAAGCGUGGGGAGCAAACAGG
This 253-nucleotide ribosomal RNA is filed under the name uncultured bacterium. RNAcentral's name for it is "partial 16S ribosomal RNA". It matches the Rfam family "Bacterial small subunit ribosomal RNA", at positions 524 to 776 of the family's 1533-position model. The record is from RNAcentral.